RNAcentral lists this ribosomal RNA (2039 nucleotides) under human gut metagenome. RNAcentral describes it as "bacterial LSU rRNA". It matches the Rfam family "Bacterial large subunit ribosomal RNA", at positions 790 to 2856 of the family's 2925-position model. The record is from RNAcentral.
UGAAAAGUGCGGGGAUGAGCUGUGGAUAGCGGAGAAAUUCCAAUCGAACUCGGAGAUAGCUGGUUCUCCCCGAAAUAGCUUUAGGGCUAGCCUCGAUUUAGAUUCAUGGGGGUAGAGCACUGAAUGGGCUAGGGGGCCACAAAGCUUACCGAACCCUAUCAAACUUCGAAUACCGGAUAAUUGAUGAUCGGGAGUCAGACAGUGUGAGAUAAGUUUCAUUGUCGAAAGGGAAACAGCCCAGAUCUACGACUAAGGUCCCAAAGUUCAAGUUAAGUGGAAAAGGAUGUGCAAUUGCGUAGACAACCAGGAUGUUGGCUUAGUAGCAGCCAUUCAUUCAAAGAGUGCGUAAUAGCUCACUGGUCGAGUGAUUGUGCGCCGAAAAUGUAACGGGGCUAAACUUGACACCGAAGUCUAGGCAGAAGGAAACUUCUGGGUAGGGGAGCAACGUGUACGGGCAGAAGCAGAAGCGGAAGCGACUGUGGACUGUACAGGAGAGAGAAUGCCGGCAUGAGUAGCGAGAGCAAAGUGAGAAUCUUUGCCGUCGAAAGCCUAAGGUUUCCUGAGGAAGGCUCGUCCUCUCAGGGUAAGUCGGGACCUAAGCCGAGGACAAUAGUCGUAGGCGAUGGACAAUCGGUUAAUAUUCCGAUACCGCCGAGCAACCGGAUGCAGUGACACAGAAGGAUAGGCAGAGCGUGGCGAUGGUAGACCACGUCCAAGCAGUGAGGCUGUUGUGUAGUGAAGUACGCACAACGUAAGGCUGGGCUGUGAUGGGGAACGAUUACGAUCGGUAAGCUGCUGAAUUCACGCUGGCGAGAAAAGCUGCUACGAAGCGAAGGCGCCCGUACCGCAAACCGACACAGGUAGGCGAGGAGAGAAUCCUAAGACGAGCGGGAGAACCCUUGUUAAGGAACUCGGCAAAAUGACCCCGUAACUUCGGGAGAAGGGGUGCCUCGAGAGAGGCCGCAGAGAAUAGGCCCAAGCGACUGUUUACCAAAAACACAGGUCUGUGCGAAGUAGAGAUACGACGUAUACGGGCUGACACCUGCCCAGUGCCGGAAGGUUAAGGGGAAAUGUUAGGGCAACCGAAGCAUGGAACUUAAGCCCCGGUGAACGGCGGCCGUAACUAUAACGGUCCUAAGGUAGCGAAAUUCCUUGUCGGGUAAGUUCCGACCCGCACGAAUGGUGUAACGAUUUGGGUACUGUCUCAACAAGGGACCCGGCGAAAUUGUAGUAUGUGUGAAGAUGCACAUUACCCGCGAUAGGACGGAAAGACCCCGUAGAGCUUUACUGUAGUUUAACAUUGGAUUCCGGUAACAUAUGCACAGGAUAGGUGGGAGGCGGAGAAGCAGUGAUUUCGGUUGCUGCAGAGCCGACGUUGGGAUACCACUCUUGUGUUACUGGGGUUCUAACCUGUGGCCGUGAUCCGGCACAGGAACAGUGUUAGAUGGGCAGUUUGACUGGGGCGGUCGCCUCCAAAAGAGUAACGGAGGCGUCCAAAGGUUCCCUCAGAAUGGUUGGAAACCAUUCGAAGAGUACAAAGGCAGAAGGGAGCCUGACUGCGAGACCGACAGGUCGAGCAGGGACGAAAGUCGGGCUUAGUGAUCCGGCGGUAUAGAGUGGAAUUGCCGUCGCUCAACGGAUAAAAGCUACCUCGGGGAUAACAGGCUUAUCUCCCCCAAGAGUCCACAUCGACGGGGAGGUUUGGCACCUCGAUGUCGGCUCGUCGCAUCCUGGGGCUGGAGUAGGUCCCAAGGGUUUGGCUGUUCGCCAAUUAAAGCGGCACGCGAGCUGGGUUCAGAACGUCGUGAGACAGUUCGGUCCCUAUCCAUCGUGGGCGCAGGAGAUUUGAGAAGAGCUGUCCUCAGUACGAGAGGACCGGGAUGGACGCACCAAGGGUGUAUCAGUUGUCACGCCAGUGGCACAGCUGGGUAGCCAAGUGCGGAUCGGAUAAACGCUGAAGGCAUCUAAGCGUGAAGCCGACUUCAAGAUAAGAUCUCCCAUCCGCAAGGAGUAAGGCCCCAUGUAGACCACAUGGUUGA